AUUUAUAUAGUUUAUAUAAAACAUUUUACUUUCAUUAAAAAAAUAGUUUAAUUACUUAUAAAUU
This 64-nucleotide transfer RNA is filed under the name Mileewa lamellata. RNAcentral's name for it is "tRNA-Glu". The record is from RNAcentral. Lineage: Eukaryota; Metazoa; Arthropoda; Insecta; Hemiptera; Cicadellidae.